Molecule: unclassified non-coding RNA, 117 nt
Organism: Pongo abelii (Sumatran orangutan)
Lineage: Eukaryota; Metazoa; Chordata; Mammalia; Primates; Hominidae
Rfam family: Metazoan signal recognition particle RNA
About the family: The signal recognition particle (SRP) is a universally conserved ribonucleoprotein. It is involved in the co-translational targeting of proteins to membranes.
Source: Ensembl
GCCAGGUGUGGUGGCUCACGCCUGUAAUCCCAGCACUUUGGGAGGCUGAGGCAGGUGGAUCACCUGAGGUCAGGAGUUCAAGAUCAGCCUGGCCAACAUGGUGAAACCCUGUCUCUA